GAGACAGCAGCCGCCACGGGAAUACGAAGGGGGCUAGCGUUGUUCGGAUUUACUGGGCGUAAAGGGUGCGUGGGCGGGUCUUUAAGUCAGGGGUGAAAUCCUGGAGCUCAACUCCAGAACUGCCUUUGAUACUGAAGAUCUUGAGUUCGGGAGAGGUGAGUGGAACUGCGAGUGUAGAGGUGAAAUUCGUAGAUAUUCGCAAGAACACCAGUGGCGAAGGCGGCUCACUGGCCCGAUACUGACGCUGAGGCACGAAAGCGUGGGGAGCAAACAGGAUUAGAUACCCCUGUAGUCCCUGUCUCUUAUAC
RNAcentral lists this ribosomal RNA (308 nucleotides) under uncultured bacterium. Its description in RNAcentral is "partial 16S ribosomal RNA". It matches the Rfam family "Bacterial small subunit ribosomal RNA", at positions 505 to 807 of the family's 1533-position model. The record is from RNAcentral.